CGUGUAGGCUGCUUGGAAAGUCGGAUGUGAAAGCCCUGGGCUCAACCUAGGAAGUGCAUUCGAAACUUCCAAGCUCGAGUUUCGGAGAGGAAGGCGGAAUUCUCGGUGUAGAGGUGAAAUUCGUAGAUAUCGAGAGGAACAUCGGUGGCGAAGGCGGCCUUCUGGACGAUGACUGACGCUGAGACGCGAAAGCGUGGGGAGCAAACA
Molecule: ribosomal RNA, 207 nt
Filed under: uncultured delta proteobacterium
Lineage: Bacteria; Deltaproteobacteria
Description: partial 16S ribosomal RNA
Rfam family: Bacterial small subunit ribosomal RNA
Source: RNAcentral